Long non-coding RNA from Stegodyphus dumicola, 1144 nucleotides. The record is from RefSeq and is a predicted model, not a curated record. NCBI's taxonomy places the organism in Eukaryota, Metazoa, Arthropoda, Arachnida, Araneae, Eresidae.
AAUAUUUAAUGCAUUAAUGAUGCAUAUUGCUUUUUUAGCAUGGAAAAAUGUUUGUAGAGAAAUUGAAGUGACAAGAUCCUGUGGCACAGAUGGAAAAGCUCCAAGUGUUGCAUAUUAUUCAAGCAAUCUGCCUGAUGAGCAACUUCCACGUCCAGAUUUUAAGCCUUUUGACUUGGAUAGUUUUCUAGAACAAAGAUCAUUAAAUUUACAAGCCAACAAACAGUCACCCCAAUGAAAGAAUGUCCAUCUUAUGCUGAUGGCUAAACCAUAAACAGCAAUAUAUUUUUAAGACUUGUUAGAAACAGACUGUAAAAUAGUCAAAAUUAUGUUUUUAAGUUUUAGUUUGUUUGAAAAGUUAAGUGGAUGACUACUUGUGUCCAAUUAAAACUGACAUAUUUUUUAUAAUCUGAAAUAUAAAAUCAUCAAUUAUUUAUAUAUUACUUUUUAUAUUGAUAUGAGUAAAAUUGUUCAGUGUGCAUUUGCUUGACUUUUCUUUAACUUUUAGAAAGGUAGUUUUUAUAAUUACAUAUAUCUAUUUUUAUUUAAAAGUUUGUUAAUCUUUUUAGUUAAUCUAUAGCUAUUAUGAAUGAAAAUUAUGUUGCCUUGUAAAUAAUUUGUACAAGGCACAUAUGUACCACUUUUUUUUCAAUAAAAAAAAAAGUUCUCUACAUGUCUGCGUUAAAUUUUACACAUUUUCCCUGUCAGUUAGUAUUGUGAUUCACUAUACCUCAGAGCAGUUUAUAGAGGGAAUUAAUGCAUAUCAUUCAGUUUUGCGAAUAAAAAUAGCUAACAAAUCUCAAAAUUUGAACUAGUCAAGACAAAUAAAAAGAUAUAUAAUGAUUCUUUAAGAAAAGUUUUAGUGCUGUUAUUUCUUUGGUCUUUUGCAUAAUGCAUUCUGAACUUGGGUUAUUUAGAGAAUAUUGAAAAUUAAUUAUGCAAUUUUUUGUUUUAUAAGAAGCCUGUACCUCAUAAUUUUUAUACUACUCUCCAUAUGAAAUAGUUUUGAAAUUAAUUUUAUUUCUUUGCAUAAAGAACUCUAUGGUAUACAUGUGUGUAAGGGAUUAGUAAAAAGUCUGAAAUAGUAAUGGAAUUUAGAAACUAAGUUGUUUAGAAUUUAUUUAUUAAAAUGCAAGUGAAGACUUUA